RNAcentral lists this ribosomal RNA (468 nucleotides) under uncultured bacterium. RNAcentral's name for it is "partial 16S ribosomal RNA". It matches the Rfam family "Bacterial small subunit ribosomal RNA", at positions 28 to 507 of the family's 1533-position model. The record is from RNAcentral.
GACGAACGCUGGCGGCGUGCUUAACACAUGCAAGUCGAACGGAAAGGCCCUGCUUUUGUGGGGUGCUCGAGUGGCGAACGGGUGAGUAACACGUGAGUAACCUGCCCUUGACUUUGGGAUGACUUCAGGAAACUGGGGCUAAUACCGGAUAGGAGCUCCUGCUGCAUGGAGGGGGUUGGAAAGUUUCGGCGGUUGGGGAUGGACUCGCGGCUUAUCAGCUUGUUGGUUGGGUAGUGGCUUACCAAGGCUUUGACGGGUAGCCGGCCUGAGAGGGUGACCGGCCACAUUGGGACUGAGAUACGGCCCAGACUCCUACGUGAGGCAGCAGUGGCGAAUAUUGCACAAUGGGCGGAAGCCUGAUGCAGCAACGCCGCGUGCGGGAUGACGGCCUUCGGGUUGUAAACCGCUUCCGCCUGUGACGACGCGUGAGUGACGGUAAUGGGUAAAGAAGCACCGGCUAACUACGUG